RNAcentral lists this long non-coding RNA (367 nucleotides) under Ursus maritimus (polar bear). RNAcentral's name for it is "lncRNA (ENSUMAG00000004763.1)". Lineage: Eukaryota; Metazoa; Chordata; Mammalia; Carnivora; Ursidae. The record is from RNAcentral.
CACACGCAGAAGGAAUAUUAGGUCACACCGUGACGUUGAUCACAUCCCGGCUUCAUUAAAUGUGACAUUUACUGAAUAGCAAAGUAUCACAAAGUGAGCACCGUGACUGUGGAGAAAAUUCUGGAAGUGUAAACGUGGAGGGAGAAUUCUCCUGCCUCGGCAAGACUCACCAUGCCUGUGUUCCCAGGAAAAUCACUGUUACCUCAGGGGAGCCAUUAGAUGGCAGAAGCGACAAGACUGGCAGCAAGAGAAGAAGGUUAGAGGCACAUUUGGAAGUCCCAAGAAUAAAACAAGAGGAAUUUUAAAGGUUAAAGACCAAGGAGGACAUGAAAGAGAAAGUAAAAGGACUUUCUUGGAGUCACGCUGA